Molecule: small RNA, 79 nt
Filed under: Pseudomonas sp. M47T1
Lineage: Bacteria; Pseudomonadati; Pseudomonadota; Gammaproteobacteria; Pseudomonadales; Pseudomonadaceae
Description: isrK Hfq binding RNA
Rfam family: isrK Hfq binding RNA
Source: Rfam by way of RNAcentral
GCCGCUGCAAAUUCAGCGGCACAGGAUUGGCGUCCUGGGUCUCGAAGCGGAACAUGAUAAUCGCGCAUGCGGUUUUCCU